This 464-nucleotide ribosomal RNA is filed under the name uncultured bacterium. RNAcentral's name for it is "bacterial SSU rRNA". It matches the Rfam family "Bacterial small subunit ribosomal RNA", at positions 330 to 792 of the family's 1533-position model. The record is from RNAcentral.
UCCAGACUCCUACGGGAGGCAGCAGUGAGGAAUAUUGGUCAGUGGCCGAAGGGCUGAACCAGCCAAGCCGCGUGAAGGAAUAAGGCCCUACGGGUCGUAAACUUCUUUAGUCAGGGAACAAAGGGUGCCACGUGUGGCGCUGUGAGUGUACCUGAAGAAUAAGCAUCGGCUAACUCCGUGCCAGCAGCCGCGGUAAUACGGAGGAUGCGAGCGUUAUCCGGAUUUAUUGGGUUUAAAGGGUGCGUAGGCGGAUUUUUAAGUCAGCGGUAAAAUGUCCGGGCUCAACCCGGGCCGGCCGUUGAAACUGGGGAUCUUGAGUGGGCGAGAAGUAUGCGGAAUGCGUGGUGUAGCGGUGAAAUGCAUAGAUAUCACGCAGAACUCCGAUUGCGAAGGCAGCGUACCGGCGCCCAACUGACGCUGAAGCACGAAGGCGUGGGUAUCGAACAGGAUUAGAUACCCUAGUA